AACGGAUAUCUCGGCUCUCGCCACGAUGAAGAAUGUAGCGAAAUGCGAUACUUAGUGUGAAUUGCAGAAUCCCGUGAAUCAUCAAGUCUUUGAACGCAAGWUGCGCCCGAGGCCUCGGCCAAGGGCACGUCUGCUUGGGCGUCGC
This 145-nucleotide ribosomal RNA is filed under the name Calocedrus decurrens. RNAcentral's name for it is "5.8S ribosomal RNA". It matches the Rfam family "5.8S ribosomal RNA". Rfam says of the family: 5.8S ribosomal RNA (5.8S rRNA) is a component of the large subunit of the eukaryotic ribosome. It is transcribed by RNA polymerase I as part of the 45S precursor that also contains 18S and 28S rRNA. Lineage: Eukaryota; Viridiplantae; Streptophyta; Pinopsida; Cupressales; Cupressaceae. The record is from RNAcentral.